Molecule: long non-coding RNA, 503 nt
Organism: Eucalyptus grandis
Lineage: Eukaryota; Viridiplantae; Streptophyta; Magnoliopsida; Myrtales; Myrtaceae
Exons: 2
Source: RefSeq, a predicted model, not a curated record
GGUGCCAACUUUAGCUGCGGUGGCCCACCACCCCCUCGCCAACCUUUUCGAAAGCAACCCCCCGUUUUCCCGAAUAGUCUAUCUCUUCCUUUUGUUCGAUUUUUUAAUUACGAUUUCUCGAAAGAAUUCCGAGGACGACCGCCUUGCUCAAUUAUAGCUCUUUUGCCUUUGAGAUGGGACAGACGACUCCCCGUUUCUCGAGGAAAGUGGUCCUGUGCCGAAUUUUUGAAGGAUGACUUGCUCCUCCUCCAUUCCGAAUUCCCAAGCAUGUCGAGAGGACAACGAGAUGGACAGUGGACAGGCCAUUUUCGUUUACCUACUCGCCGUUUUGCUUCUUCAAGUCUGUUUGUAGCUUUGUGAGAAACUUGAGGGGAGAGUUCUUUGGUCACAAGCGAAAGGAGCCCGUUGUGUGCCCCUUCUUGUGCUUGCUUGAAGAGUCGAGAGAUGUUGGCAUAUGCUUGUAAGUGCGACAAAAAUGGAAGAGGAGAAAGUGGGGUUGCAAA